UCUUGACCAGAGGAGGGGAUGCUGGUUCCACUGCCACGGAGUGCCGAAUUCUGCUGCAGCUUUCCAAACACUUCCUCAUGGGCCACAUCAGUGUGUGCUGUUCCUGUCAUACUAAUAGUUCUGUUCUCUUGAGUAAACCUGAAGCUCCAUUUCCAGAAUUUCCUCUGUGCCCUUUUCUCCGCUCUCAUUUAGGCCCACGUAAGUACAGGAAGGAAGCCUUUGAGAGUGGGAAUGCUCAGUCUGAAAAUACAUUUUGAGACAAAGUGAGGGAAGAACUGAGUCAUGGGAGCAAAGCCCAGUCUUCUUUCUUCCCUUCCUUCCCCUAGCAGCUCUUUGGUGGGGCUGCCUUCUCUGCCAGGCAACUUCCCCCAGAGUCAUCAUAGGCUGGAAAAGAACCCAUACAGGUCAAGAGGUCAAUUCGGCUUAAAUGUUAGAUGCCAUGCUGCUUUUCCUCACACACAACCAAGGGAGG
Pipistrellus kuhlii (Kuhl's pipistrelle) is the source of this 472-nucleotide long non-coding RNA. RefSeq lists it as uncharacterized. The record is from RefSeq and is a predicted model, not a curated record. NCBI's taxonomy places the organism in Eukaryota, Metazoa, Chordata, Mammalia, Chiroptera, Vespertilionidae. The transcript is spliced from 2 exons.